AUCUUCAUCAGAUCAAUGGAUCUGUGAGAAGAUGGGGGCCAGCUGGUCAGCACAAGUUUUCAGACAUGCUGGUGUCACACCGUCUGGGCCUGGUGUCUUUCUUCUUUUG
Long non-coding RNA from Sinocyclocheilus anshuiensis, 109 nucleotides. RefSeq lists it as uncharacterized. The record is from RefSeq and is a predicted model, not a curated record. NCBI's taxonomy places the organism in Eukaryota, Metazoa, Chordata, Actinopteri, Cypriniformes, Cyprinidae. The transcript is spliced from 3 exons.